RNAcentral lists this ribosomal RNA (429 nucleotides) under Gemmatimonadota bacterium. RNAcentral's name for it is "Gemmatimonadetes bacterium partial 16S ribosomal RNA". It matches the Rfam family "Bacterial small subunit ribosomal RNA", at positions 355 to 776 of the family's 1533-position model. The record is from RNAcentral. Lineage: Bacteria; Pseudomonadati; Gemmatimonadota.
UAGGGAAUCUUCGGCAAUGGACGAAAGUCUGACCGAGCAACGCCGCGUGAGUGAAGAAGGUUUUCGGAUCGUAAAACUCUGUUGUUAGAGAAGAACAAGGACGUUAGUAACUGAACGUCCCCUGACGGUAUCUAACCAGAAAGCCACGGCUAACUACGUGCCAGCAGCCGCGGUAAUACGUAGGUGGCAAGCGUUGUCCGGAUUUAUUGGGCGUAAAGCGAGCGCAGGCGGUUUCUUAAGUCUGAUGUGAAAGCCCCCGGCUCAACCGGGGAGGGUCAUUGGAAACUGGGAGACUUGAGUGCAGAAGAGGAGAGUGGAAUUCCAUGUGUAGCGGUGAAAUGCGUAGAUAUAUGGAGGAACACCAGUGGCGAAGGCGGCUCUCUGGUCUGUAACUGCCGCUGAGGCUCGAAGGCGUGGGGAGCAAACAGG